RNAcentral lists this ribosomal RNA (1489 nucleotides) under uncultured bacterium. RNAcentral describes it as "bacterial SSU rRNA". It matches the Rfam family "Bacterial small subunit ribosomal RNA". The record is from RNAcentral.
AGAGUUUGAUCCUGGCUCAGGACGAACGCUGGCGGCGUGCCUAACACAUGCAAGUCGAGCGGAGAAGGCAAAGAAGUUUACUUUGAUGUUUUCUCAGCGGCGGACGGGUGAGUAACACGUGGGCAACCUGCCUCAGAGAGGGGAAUAGCCUUCCGAAAGGAAGAUUAAUACCGCAUAAGAUCACGGCAUCGCAUGGUGCAGUGAUAAAAGGAGCAAUCCGCUUUGAGAUGGGCCCGCGGCGCAUUAGCUAGUUGGUGAGGUAACGGCUCACCAAGGCCACGAUGCGUAGCCGACCUGAGAGGGUGAUCGGCCACAUUGGAACUGAGACACGGUCCAGACUCCUACGGGAGGCAGCAGUGGGGAAUAUUGCACAAUGGGCGCAAGCCUGAUGCAGCAACGCCGCGUGAGUGAUGAAGGCUUUCGAGUCGUAAAGCUCUUUGAUCAGGGACGAUAAUGACGGUACCUGAAAAACAAGCCACGGCUAACUACGUGCCAGCAGCCGCGGUAAUACGUAGGUGGCGAGCGUUGUCCGGAAUUACUGGGCGUAAAGGAUGCGUAGGUGGAUAUUUAAGUGGGAUGUGAAAUCCCUGGGCUCAACCCAGGAAUGGCAUUCCAAACUGGAUAUCUGGAGUGCAGGAGAGGAAAGCGGAAUUCCUAGUGUAGCGGUGAAAUGCGUAGAUAUUAGGAGGAACACCAGUGGCGAAAGCGGCUUUCUGGACUGUAACUGACACUGAGGCAUGAAAGCGUGGGUAGCAAACAGGAUUAGAUACCCUGGUAGUCCACGCCGUAAACGAUGGGUACUAGGUGUAGGAGGUAUCGACCCCUUCUGUGCCGUCGUUAACACAAUAAGUACCCCGCCUGGGGAGUACGGUCGCAAGACUAAAACUCAAAGGAAUUGACGGGGGCCCGCACAAGCAGCGGAGCAUGUGGUUUAAUUCGAAGCAACGCGAAGAACCUUACCAGGGCUUGACAUGCCUCUGACCAUCCUAGAGAUAGGAUUUUACCUUCGGGUACAGGGGGCACAGGUGGUGCAUGGUUGUCGUCAGCUCGUGUCGUGAGAUGUUGGGUUAAGUCCCGCAACGAGCGCAACCCCUGUUUUUAGUUGCUAACAAGUAAUGUUGAGCACUCUAAAGAGACUGCCGAUGAUAAAUCGGAGGAAGGUGGGGAUGACGUCAAAUCAUCAUGCCCUUUAUGUCCUGGGCUACACACGUGCUACAAUGGUCGGUACAACGAGCAGCCACUUAGUGAUAAGGAGCGAAUCUCUAAAAGCCGAUCCCAGUUCGGAUUGUAGGCUGCAACUCGCCUACAUGAAGUUGGAGUUGCUAGUAAUCGCGGAUCAGAAUGUCGCGGUGAAUGCGUUCCCGGGUCUUGUACACACCGCCCGUCACACCAUGGAAGUUGGCAAUACCCGAAGCCAGUGAGCUAACCGUAAGGAGGCAGCUGUCGAAGGUAGGGUUAAUAACUAGGGUGAAGUCGUAACAAGGUAACC